AGCUGCUUGUCAGGCCAAGAAGACAGCAGCCCUGAUGAUCAGUUCUUCCUAAAGCCAUCUGGCUUCUGGGGAGGGGCAGGACAGCCCCCCAGGGCAGGGAGAGCACUCGGAGGGGCCAGCAGGAGACAUCCAGCUCAAGUCUUCAGCGCCACCUUUUAUGAUGACAGUGGCCUUGAAUGGGAGAGUGGCGGGCAGUGACGCACAACUUUGUGAAUAGCCUGUCAAGCACUGAGCUGCAAACUUUAACAUGGAGAAUUUUACGGCGUAUGAAUUACUUCUUCAUUAAAAAACUUUUUUUUUUUUUUUGAAAAUCA
This 314-nucleotide non-coding RNA is filed under the name Pongo abelii (Sumatran orangutan). Lineage: Eukaryota; Metazoa; Chordata; Mammalia; Primates; Hominidae. The record is from RNAcentral.